RNAcentral lists this ribosomal RNA (460 nucleotides) under uncultured bacterium. Its description in RNAcentral is "partial 16S ribosomal RNA". It matches the Rfam family "Bacterial small subunit ribosomal RNA", at positions 338 to 795 of the family's 1533-position model. The record is from RNAcentral.
CCUACGGGCGGCAGCAGUGAGGAAUAUUGGUCAAUGGACGAGAGUCUGAACCAGCCAAGUAGCGUGAAGGAUGACUGCCCUAUGGGUUGUAAACUUCUUUUAUAUGGGAAUAAAACGUUCCACGUGUGGGAUUUUGUAUGUACCAUAUGAAUAAGGAUCGGCUAACUCCGUGCCAGCAGCCGCGGUAAUACGGAGGAUCCGAGCGUUAUCCGGAUUUAUUGGGUUUAAAGGGAGCGUAGGUGGAUUGUUAAGUCAGUUGUGAAAGUUUGCGGCUCAACCGUAAAAUUGCAGUUGAAACUGGCAGUCUUGAGUACAGUAGAGGUGGGCGGAAUACGUGGUGUAGCGGUGAAAUGCUUAGAUAUCACGAAGAACUCCGAUUGCGAAGGCAGUUCACUGGACUGCAACUGACACUGAGGCUCGAAAGUGUGGGUAUCAAACAGGAUUAGAGACCCCUGUAGUC